RNAcentral lists this small RNA (96 nucleotides) under Salix viminalis (osier). Lineage: Eukaryota; Viridiplantae; Streptophyta; Magnoliopsida; Malpighiales; Salicaceae. The record is from RNAcentral.
GCUUCCCAAUUCUGAUGCCUUCUCUGAAGUUGGAAUCUCAAGUGCUAGAAUCAGUUGUUACUUUCAAAAUUAUAUUAUCAAGAAAAGCAGAGAAUA